UUUUUGAAGGUUCUUUCUUUGAUUGUGCACGGUACUGUGACGGUUCCUGGAUCCUUUUGUUUGUUAGGAAUGUUCUGCUCCAGGGAGUUUGCAUUAUAUUGUUCCUUACCAGAUACCUGUUCUUCAGUGGUUGGUUUCUUUUCAGCCAUUACCUCUUCCACGAAUUUCUUGUACAUGGGCAUCCUUUCAAGUGCUUCAAACAAAGUCAUAUGACCCUCAAUCCUUUUAAACAUUGUCAUGAAUUUCUCGAAGUCUGACUCACUAGGUUCCUUCUUUGUCACUCUCUGAGGGUAGGGCAACUUAAUCACCGGUUUAGUUCCUUUUGUAGUUUCUUCUUUAGUCGGCUCGC
Molecule: long non-coding RNA, 349 nt
Filed under: Lathyrus oleraceus (garden pea)
Lineage: Eukaryota; Viridiplantae; Streptophyta; Magnoliopsida; Fabales; Fabaceae
Description: Pisum sativum (pea) long non-coding RNA (PSAT_LNC018864)
Source: RNAcentral